RNAcentral lists this long non-coding RNA (18263 nucleotides) under Citrus sinensis (sweet orange). Its description in RNAcentral is "long non-coding RNA (CSIN_LNC001689)". Lineage: Eukaryota; Viridiplantae; Streptophyta; Magnoliopsida; Sapindales; Rutaceae. The record is from RNAcentral.
UAUCAUGCCUUGUUCUACAUUGUCAAGUGCAAAAGCAGUAAUAUGUCAACCAAAUGGAAAGUUAAGAUAAAUGAUUGGACAAAAAAUGAUGAGGAUCAUCCAGUGAAUGCAUGUUGUGGAUCUAAAAGUUCAGAGGACAGGCCUAUUCGGCAGCUGACUACUUGGCCAAAAAUGCAGGCUCUAUACCUCUCGGAUUUCAUGUUUAUCAUGAACCUCCUGUAGGUCAUGAUCCUUGGCUUUGUUAUGAUAUGUAUGGGACAAUGAUUCCCCAUUCGGUUGUGUCUUAGCUUGGCUAAGCCUUUUUUUGGUAAAAAAAAAAAAAGAAUGUAGACUAAUGUUCAUAUAGAAAUUGUAAAUUAGAGGUACUGUGAGCAGUGUUGGGUCCAAAAAAAUGAUUAACCGAGAAUUAAAUUAAGUAAAAGCAAGACAUUAUUGAUUCCCUUCAUUCCUGUAAACCCGCCGAAUUGUUCUUUCCUAAAUUAACUCAAGCAUUAAUUUUCUUUUUAGAACAAGAAAGAUAAAAUUUGUGAUUGGUGGAGUGGUUAAUUAUUAUUUUUGAUAAAUUUGAAUCUAUUUUUGAAAUAGAAAAAUGUUUUGGGUUGUGGGUCAUUAUUAUUUUUAAAUAAAGCGUGAGUUUCAAAGUUCAAGUUAAAAUUUAAAUUUUGUAGAUUUAUGAAUGUAUAGAGGCUAUUUUAAUAGAUUGAUGAAGGUUAAUUAGAAGGAAAAAGCUAUUUCCCCUGAAUUUAAUCCGGAAUUGCGCCCCGAAUUAGAAAAACGACGUCGUUUUGAUUCAAUUGAAAACGCUGCAUCAGAAACCACACUCACGCAGUCUCUUAGGGUCCGUUUGGUAUUGUUUCUGAAUUUGAAUUUUCUAAGAAUAAAAAUGAAAAUGAAAAUAGUGUUUUGCAGUUGUUGUAUUUUGAAUUUAAAUAUGCGUUUGGUAUCAUUUUCUGUAUCCUAUAUUUCUAAACUGAAAACAGUAAUAUGCGUGUGGUAGAUAUAGUUGAAAAUGAUAAAACCAAAUAAUAUGCGUUCGGUAAUACCUUUUUCAAAAACAGUUUUUACUAAGCAUUUUAAGUUAUAAUUAUAGUUAGAAAAUAAUUGUGACAAUAUUACAUACACGAAUAUACCAUAAUAAUUUAAGCAAAAUUAUUAUAAAAAAUUAAAUAAUGAUAAAGUUUUAUAAUUACCAUUAAUUAAAAAAAAAGUUUUACAUUGUCAUUGUUUUUAUACUAUAAUUAAGAUGUAUAUUGCAACACAUGAUUUAAACAAAAUAAUUAUAAAAAAUUAUAUAGUACACAUUAUGCAUUAUGUGUAAUCGUGCCUCAUAGAAGCUGCAAUCUCAUCUCUUAUAGCAUUCAUCUCUGCGACAUUAGCUGGUAACCAAAUCUUGCUAUCCUCACCACCAACAUCAUGUGGAUCCAUAUCUUGUUACUAUAAAAUUAGAAAAAAUAACAUAUAUCAAAUAUUAAUGAAAUUAAAGAAACUACUUCUAAACAUACAUAGCUCAAACUUUUGAAAUUAAUCAAAUUCAACAUAGCAUGAAAGCCAUUUUACCAAUAUGUCAUAGAUUAAAAAUUCAACAGUCCAAAAUAAAAAAUAUUCCAAUACAACUUCACCAAUUCAAAUUAAUGGCAUAAACAAAAACAGAUAUAUGUAUUCUGCAUCCUUAACACAAAUACAAUGCUAUUCGGCAAUCAUCAUUUUCCCCAAAUAUAUUUAUCUGAAAUUACAAUUUCCAGCUUGCAUUUCGAUUCAAUGACAGAGAGAAAAUAUUAAAACUCAUAAUGACCAAGCACACAAAGCAACAACAUAGCAACAAUUAAAGCAGCAAGACAAAUCCCCCAAUUCCAGUUCAUCGCUGCCUUUUUUUUCAUUCUGCAAACAAAAUCAAAGUGUACCAAAAAUAUUUUUACACGGUUUUGCUUUCAAAUCAACACAAUUACUCAUAAUCUAAAAUAAUUACUCAAAAUUAUUAAAACUCAUAAUAACAAAGCACACGAAGCAACAACAUAACAACAAUUAAAUCCCCCAAUUCCAGUUCAUCGCUUCCUUUUUUUUCCAUUCCGCAAACAAAAUCAAAGUGUAGCAAAACUAUAUUCACACGGUUUUGUUUUCAAAUCAACACAAUUACUCAUAAUCUAAAACAAUUACUCAAAAUUAUUUUGGCUUGAAUAGAGGGAAUACACAAUUAACAUGCUUUAAAAAAAUCUCGCAAAAUUAUUCAAACAAUUACUGAAAUAAAAAAAAUUACCAGCAAGCUGAGAGAGAUGCAGCAGUUCAGUCGAUCAAGUAGGAGCGGCGGUGGCUACACGGAGAUGGACAGCAGUGGCUAUGCUCAAACGGAGCAGCAACGGCCACGACGGAGAGAGAACGGCACACCAAAGGACAACCGCGGUAGAGACGAAGUUGCAGCGGCGGCAGAGAAAGUGUUGUUGGAGGGAGAAAAGGAGAGAGAGAGCGGGUAGAGAGAAGACUGCUACCGAAGAAAAGGAUGAGGAGAUAAGGAGAGAGAAAAUGUUGUUGGAGUAAGAAAAGGAGAAAGCACUGCUGCCGUGACUAGAUCGAUAACGAUGGCAGGGAGGGGGGGUGACCAGAUCGAGAACAAUGAGAGGGGGGAGAGGGUUGCUGCCGAAGAGAAUGAGUUUUGUUUCUUAAUCUAUUUUUGAGUUUAGUUUGUAAUAUUUAGGAAACAUGUUAAACACAUUUUCAUGUUUGUAGUUAUAACACUGGAUCUGAAUUUGUUAUUUUGUGAUUUGUUUUUUGAAUCCAUCUCACCAAACAUAUAUUAUGUUUGUAUUAUGAAAACAAAAAUGAAAACAAUGGGUAAAAAACGCUACCAAGUUACUUUCCUUUUGACAAACCAAAGACUCCAACACAAAUAGCAAUCACACCCACAAAUAGCAAUCACCCAACGGCCACGCGAACAGCCGGUACAGACGACAGACCACCGCCAUCACGUGAUCGAGGGAGUAGAACUCACGCGGUGGUGCGUCCAAACUCCAACGAAAUCGACGACGACGGAGGUAGUUAGAGCCACAGUUCUUUCGAGCUAAAUCGCUGGUGUUCCUAUUGGUUUUCAGCGACGAGGAUGGCAAGGAAACGAUGGCCAACUUCCAAUCUUCAGAUCAAUACCUUGAUCGGCCGGUAGAGUGGUCGGGAUCGUGAAAUCCAACCGGGUCACGUUUGCAGGUCAAGUCGGGUUUGCGGGUCAACUUCUCUCCCUCCUCAUCCACUCACAAAGCGCCACACGGCUCCCCUUGGCCAGGUUGUUGCUGCUGGAAUUUGUUUUGCUGGAACCAUUACUGGUGCUAGAAUUGAUGCUCGAGUUGUUGCUGCUAGAAUUGUUUUUGCUGGAAGUGUUACUGGAAUUUUUUUUGCUAGAAGUGUUACUGGUACUGGAGUUGGUGCUCGAAUUGUUGCUGCAAUUUUUUUUCUUUUUUUUGUGUUUGUGUGUAUGAACUAGAGGUGGCAAAAAUAUAUGCCCGGUCUAGACCCAGAUCAUACCCGAGCGUUGUUAUUCGGCCCGGGUAUAAAGUUGGGUUGAUCUUAGGUAUCACUUGAUAAACCCGGAACCUGGAUUUUAUUAAAAAAAUUAUAAAAAUAUAUUAUUUUAAAUAUUUAUAUUUAUUUGACUCAUUUAUUAUACAUAUAUAAAGUUUUAAAUACUUAAAAUUUAUAUUUUCAUGUUAAAUUUUAUUGAAAUAAAUUUAAAACUUAUAAAAUUAUCAAAAAAUAAAAAAUAUAUACACAUACUGCUGUACCGUACAUCCGCCUUGGCCGUACAGCAGUAAGAUAUGCAUUCACAAAUCAGAAGCAACCCGGACCCGGCCCAGGGUUUUGCCAUCCCUAGUGUGAACUCCUGAUUGUUUUUUAUUAUCUUGGGCACUUGUUGCUGCUGAUAUGUGUGUGUGAAAUUGCUUCAAUGAAUUGAAUACAACAAGUGCCCAAGUCUUGUUGGAAUCAACAAGUCUUGCUGCUGGAAUUGUUGCUACCGUUAGUGUUGCUGCAAUGAAUUGAAGAAGCAACGUCGUUCGGUUUAAGUGACCGUUUUAAAACUCACACACAUGUGCUGCACAGUUGCAAUUAAAAAGGAAAAGUGACCGUUUUAAAACACAGCGUUUUGGCAAAUUCAGAGUUAAGUUCGGGGCAUAUAGCAGCGCUCUAAUUAUAAACCCAAAUGAUUUUUUCUUUUAUUUUUUUUGUCUUUCACAUGCUAAAUCCACCACCCUUACCGAUAAAAAUUGGGAUGAUUUAUUUUUAUCCUAAUGAUCAUAAUAAAAAUUUUAAAAAAUUUUUACUAUUUUAUCAAAAUUAUUAUUUAAAAAUCAUAUUUACCCCAAUUUUUUUUUUAACUACAAUGUUUGAGGGUGUAUUAUGAAGUGACCAGCUAUACCCUAAACGAGAAGUCGACCUUCUUAUAAGUGAGCAGACAUGUGAGGUCUGGUAUCAGGUAGCCAAAAGCAGGCAUUUUCUGCUCGAUUACAAGGACACCCUCUGCUAGACCUUAGCACGAGCAGGAUUCCUGCUAGAAACCGAGAGCCUUCCUGCUGGAGACCGGGGUCGACAGACCCAGUCCAUAACAGUUAACGGGUGUGCACUUCUAUUCGAAAAUCUAAGCACGAAAUCCACUCGGCCGCAACUACAAUAUUCAAGCAUCCACUUCCGAGAGCUGGGGAGGUGGUGAACGUGGGUCAUGGGGGGCUAAAUUUAUAGGAAGACUAUAAAAGAGGUAAUCAACGAAGGUAAAAAGGUUAAACACUUUUACAUAAAAAUUAAGAAAAAAAAAGCAUUCUAGGAAAAACCUGUGAAAAGCUCAUAGGUAUUUUAUUGCCUAGGGAGCCACGAGAUCAGUGGCAGAAUUUCUUAAAAAGUCAACCCGAAUUUCUAAUUUGAGCGUUGAAGGGUUUACACGAAGAAAACUUCCAGCGUGCUCUGACUAAUUUGUGUGCACAGGAGUUCGUCGAGAAGAAGUUGCAAGAGGCAUACCUCUAUUCGCCUAGAAGAGUAACAUGAAGUAUACUCGGUAGGCUGCAAGUUUAAGAGUUAAAAAGAGAUCCUGAUCGUAAAUGAGCAGAAACUAAAAUCUCGCAUCAAUAUAUAUAUAUAUAUAUAUUUUUUCACCACGACUAUAACUUUUAAUAUAACUUAGGUUAUCAAAAUUUUGAGCUUCAUUCAACCAACCAUAAAUCAUGAUUAAAGUCUACGUUGCGUAAGUCAAGAAAGACUUUAAUGGGAGAGAGAUCAUCUUUAUUAUCGACACUACAAAUGGACCCCAAUUAUAUCUAAAGUCUUUGGGCUCGUGUCCCGUUGUCUUCUUCUUUUUCAAAACCCUAUUUACUAACCAUUAAUUCGGUUGGUUGAUAAAUCCGGCGGUUUCUGAUUUUCUUAUUUAUUUUUAUGCGAGUGACCCCGUAACGAUAGCAUCGCAAUCUCAUGAAAAAAAAUUUUCCAAACGCAUGAAAAUUGGACACCCAUCAACAAAAAUCUUUUUGUUACAGUAUUUACUGUACUUUCAAAAUUUUAAACAUGACAAAAAUUAAGUAAUCUACUUAUCAUAAUAAUCUAUGACCAAAAAUAUUGAACAUGUAAUUUUUUUUUUUUUUGUAAUUAUACACGCACAUCACUCUUUUACGAUUAAUUGACUAAACAAGUAUGAUAAACGAUUUUAUAAUGGAUUGUCUCAUAAUCUAAAUUUAUCAAAUAUUUUAAUGGUGAGACUAUUCGAAUUGAAUCCAUAAAAUUCUUUUAAAAUUUUCUUUACAACUUAUAACAUACUUUUUAGAAAGUCUAUCGAGUACUUAUUUAAAAAUUUUAUUUCAAUAGAUAUCAAGAAAAAUUAUUUGGUUAAGAGAAAUGAGCCCCUUUUGAGUUGGUGAAGCAUGAGCUCAUCACUAGGCAAUCCAUCAAAUUAUUCAAUAAACACAUUUACCCCACACAUCUAUAAUUAAUUAGAGGGAUGGAAUCAUUUGAACUUAUUAAAUUUCUCUUAACAUCCAUUUAUUUAACAUAUCCCCUAUCAAAAUCUUAAAAUUAAAUUUUAAUAAACCUCUUAAUACCCCACAAAUAACCGUUUUAUGGUUGGUGCAAUAAUUUAGAUAAUUAAAUUAUUUAUUGUUUUUGGUAAUUUUUAUUUAAGAUUAUUUUUGUAAUAUAAUUUUUUAUUUAAAAAUAGGUCUAAGGUGCAUUUUUAUGGGGCCCAAACGACCUUAAAAUUAGAAAAAUUAAAUUUUACCAUAUAAAAGCAAAACCUCUAGUACUUCCUAAAGUAUCCUUCAUUAGAUUUCUUUUUUUAAUUCUAUUAUUUUCUCUCUCCUAAAGAAGUUGCUGUAUCCUUUCUGGUAAGAUGCUCUGUUCAGGCUUCAAUGUUGUUGGAUUGAAUUGGCAACUGAACUCGAAUCAAUUCUCAUGCAAGGGUUGGGGAAUUUGCUCAACUUAUAAUUGGUAGGUUUAUGCCUUUGGGAUCAAACUCAUUUCGCCUCUCCAAGAAUCUGCAAAAUUAAUUUGUAUUAUCAUGUCGGCGCUGCUUAUAAUUAGUAGUGCUUGCAUUGCCCUGAAUUCAGGCAUUGCUUGAGUAGAGUUGGGCUUGCUGAUUCAUUUUAGUGACAAAUGAAAACAUUAAAAAAAAAAAAUCAGGACUUGUUCGUCCAAAUUUACAGAUAUUUUGUUCUUUAAUUAAUUUUAUUAUAACAAACAAUAGGAUAGCAGUGUUGUUUAACCAGUUGCUUACACCUUGGCAAUAUAGCUUUGUGUUUUUUUUUUCUUUUUUCUUAUUCAUAGAGAUGUCAAAUUCUCUAUCUUCACCAUAAUUCUAGAUUGAGGAUUAUACAUAGAGAUCUCAAAGUAAGUAAUGUGUUACUUGAUAAUGAGAUGAACCCAAAAAUUUUAGAUUUGUGUGAGAUGGCACUGUUCACAUUAUUUUUUUAAUUUCUUUAAUUAAAAUAACAAAACUAAAUAAAAAUGUAUAAUAUUUAAUAAAAUUAAAAAUUCAAGUAUGUUGCCGCUAGUGCUGAUGAACUACUAGCGAAAGUUCGACGGCGGCUAGCCACAGGUGGCUACUGCAUGACAUCAUGUUUUACCCUAAAAUUUGGUAUCAUUAAAAUUCUCAUUGUCGGGGCUUCACAGUAAUGCCAAAACCUUGAAUGUAGAUCGAUGGUGAAUGAAAAUUCCUUUGCCAAUGAUAGUUGACCAUUGCAUAGCCCUAAUAAUAAUGAUUCUAAUGGUAUCAAAAUAUAGUUCAAAUGGUACUAAAGUGGGAUGGUCAAGGUGAAAAUUUUUUAUUUUGAUUAUAAAAUUUUAAAUUAUUAAUUGAAUAUAAAUAAUAAUAGAAUAUAAAUGAAACUUUGAUUAUAAUUUAAUAUAAAUAUUAAAAUAGAAAUUAUUAUUUUAAAUAAUACAAUGCAAGCUACAUCAAACACCAUAUUGUAUUACAGCUUAAUACAAUAUAAUAUAAUACAAUAUAGUAUGUCAAACGCACCCAUAAAAAAAAAUUCAAAAUCACAAGAUUUAUUUGGUGGGCUUUACCUGCAUUAUCCUCAGUUUACUUUUUGAGUCAAAUAAACAAUAGGCCCCAGAGACUUUUUAGUUCAUCAUGCUAUUGCUUUAGAUGUACAUACAACUAUAUUGAUCUUGGUAAAGUGGACAGUUUACUUUUUGCGUCAAAUACUAUGUUGGGAUUAAUUUUUUAUAAAAUUAGUCUAUUCCACUGUCUUUAACUGCAUCCAAACAUACCCCAAUGGUUAACUAUGAGAAAAUUUAAUAAGACUAGCAAUUUGUUUACUUGGAAUUGGAAUGGACAAAAAUUGCAAUGAGUUGAAAUCAGAACAGGCUGGAAUUGAUCACAUGAGAAAUAAGAAUCAAAGUAAAUUAUAUACUUGAAUCGAAAUCAACAAAAUUCCAAUUGAUGUAUUUACUUUUGUCUUGUAAUCCAAAUAAGUUGUCACAAGUCAUAAAAAUGUCCUUAGUUCCACUCUUGCCAGAUGUCAUGAUGAUAUACGUUUCAUCCAUCUGGUAAGCGAAGGAGUUAUUGCAAGUUAAAAAAAUGUCCUUAGUUACAAUUAUGUAUUUUUCUAUGUAAAAUAAAUAAGCAAACAUUUUUAAAGAAACCAUUGGCAUAUUUAUUAUAAUAUUGAGUGUAAUACAAUGAGUUUUUGAGUAAACUAGUAGUUGUUGUUGUUAUUUUAAAUCGAUAAUAACUACUAUUAAUAUUAUUAUUGUAGGGAAAUUAAAGCCCUAACUUCUUAUUAAUUUAAUUCCUUCUUAUUACCAGAAGGGGAACCAAAGUUCAAAUACCAAGUUUUUGUUGCUGGCAGGACUCGAACCUACGCCCCUCAACUUUCUAGGUAUAGGUUCUCCCAUUAGAUUACAAGGUCGGCUUGUGUUAUUGUUACUACUAAUACUAUUAUUAUUAUAAUUGUUUAUUUUCUUAUUAGUAUAAUUAAUCUUAUUAAGAUUAUUUAAUUAUGUAAUAGGAAUAAAAUCAAAAUUUCAGAAAUUAAGGGAUAGUAAAAUAAUUAAUUUAGAAAAUAAAAAUCGCAAUCCCACCUUCUCAUAGAAAUAAGAUUCUCAUUCCCACCUUUAAAAUUUGGUGGGCCUCACAAAUUUCAUUCACAUUCUCAAAUAUCAAAUAAGCAAGUAAAUAAUGGAAUCAUUUCCGGUCUUCCAUUCUUGACUCCCAUUCCAAGAAGUUAAUAACCUUUAAUAGAACGUUCAAAUGAAAAGACUAGCCAGGCCUUGAGAAUUGACAUCCAUCAAUUAUCUCUUCCGUGUUAGAAAUAUAUGUUAUUUGUUUUGUCUUUUUUUUUUAAUUCAUAUAUUGUUGAAAAGUCAAAAUUGACGAUUUGUUUAUUCAAAUUGAUUGAAAAAUAAGAGGUGAGCCACAUGCAUAAUUGACUUUUGGAAGAGGUAGGAAUCGCAUGCAUGAUUUCUUUCAAAAAUGAAGAAUUUUUGUAACUUUAUGAAGACUUUUUUUAUGCAAUUGAAGAGUUUUUCAAAAGGUAGAAAUGGUGGCCCAAAUCAUUGAAAUAAUUGCAUGUAAAUUAGAUGUUAGGUGUUGGUGCCUAUAAAUAGAGAGCAUUUCUUCAUUUCAUUUCAUCCCAAAAAUUUGAGAGCUUAAGAGAAAUUGCAAGUGAAACAAUUAUAAAGUUCUGAGAGUGUGAGCAAUUGGAGAGUGUGUGUGAGAGUAUUUGGUGUAUUUAGGUUUUGGGAAAGUGAGGUUUUUCUACUUAAAUUUGUACUCUAAUAAUUGUUGGUAAUACAAUUAUUUUUCUUUUGCUCCCGUAGACGUAGGCAUAUUGCCGAACCACGUAAAAUUCUGUGUCUUUUAUUUUUCUGUGAUUAUUUGGUGCGCUUGAUUCUGUAUUCCGUGCACAACAUAUAUGAUCACUCUUGAAUCUCAAAAAGCAAAAAAAAAAAUCCCAUUAAAAAAGAUCCAUUGCAACUUGUAGACAAAUACAAAACAGAAAAAUUAGUAUUCCUAGUCCACUGCCCCGUUAAGAGACUAUCAUUUUUCUUACCUAUGAUCGAAGCUUCAUUUGGAGGAUAUGCUGUACAGAGUAGUUUUCCAAUCCAGUAUCUUGGAUUGGAGUUAUAAUCCGGGGGACAAUUUGUAGCCGUCGGAUCAAAUCCAAUGGCAACUUAUAUUUUUAUUUCAAAUAUUGAUUCCGACAGUAGGGCCCACAUGCAGACUUUUACAAUUUUUAAGGGUUCAGUUAUGUUGCAAGAGUUGUCAGGACCUCAAUUUUUAUCUUUUGUGAUUUAACUAAUGUAAAUUUAACAGAACGCCUUAUACUCUAUUUUAUUCAUAAAAUAUUAACAAAUAUUAUGAUACCUUUUACUUACAUACACUAUUAAAAUUCUAUUUAACACCUUACACUCUUUUUAUUUAUUAUUUUCAUAAAUAUUAAAGUAUUUAUUUGUUUACAUCCAACACUAAUAUUAACAAAAAGACAACAAUACCCUUAAAUUUAUAAACUAAAAAUAAAAUUUUAGAUUUGGAGCCAGCAAGUUUAAGGGACUCCAAAUCCAAGAUUGUGACUCUCUGUUGGUGCCUUUGACUACAAGUAACGCCAUGCCAUUGGCAGAAGUGGAUGGAUUCAUUCGACGAGCCUAAAGCACCAAGAGGAUCAUGGGUGAUCUUGGACUUGAAUUCAAGCAAGGCUAAUCGAUCUGUCCCGUUGCCAACAACUUCAGAAGCCCUCACACCAAGGAUUUCAGGAAUUAGAAUGGCGUGGAAGCUGAAGCAGAAUACAAGGACAGCAUACGCAACUAAAAAAGAGCAAGGGCAAGGCACUCUUAUGCUCAUGUUGAACGGAAAAUUUUUAUCUCGGAGUUGCAGGUAAAUGGUGGAAUGGAUUUGUCAAAAUUUAAGGUUCAACAAUCAAGAAUAUAGACAAAUGUAUUCACUCAGCAAGGCUCUAUCUGUAAUUAUUAUUAUGAUAAUAAUGUAACAUUCAUAAUUUUGUCAAACAGCUUUCGGAGGGUUUAAUAUUCAUUUAAGUUCGUAAAAAUCUAAAGUUCAUAAUUUUGUCAAACAGCUCUAUUUGUAAUACACUUGACUUGUUCUGGGAAAUUUCCCAGCCAAAGAACUUGCUUGUAAAAAUCUAAAGCAGCCUUAGCUAAAUAGUGAGCAAUAAAAUUACAGCUCCUAGAGACAUAUGUAAUUGAGGCCGAUGUCUGGACUUUCAUUUUUUCUUGAAUCUCUGCAAUUCUCCACGAAAUUUCAGCCUUGCUGCUCUUCUUACUUAAAUCUAGUUCCACCACUUCCUUUGAGUCUGAUUCAAGGAUCAAAGGGAAGCAAUCUGCUUGUUGAGCACUUUGAAAACCGAGCAGCAUAGCUUCAGCUUCCAUACAAGCUACAUUUUCUUGAUAUGGGAUUCCCUGGACUGCUGCAGCAACAACUUUGCCUCUGCAAUUUCUAAUAACUGCUCCCAGCCCUGCUUUUUGUUUUGAGACAUUGAUUGCCGCAUCAACAUUAACUUUGAACCACCCAUUUGGAGGAGUAGUCCAUUCCAACUUUCUGUUCUUGCUGUGCUCUGGAAUGGCUUGGGCAUUUGGGAUUUAAUUCGUCAGUACGACUCCACUAUAGCUCCUGCUCUGGCAAAAGAUUGCUUCGGAUCUUCAUCCUUCCCUUAAAAAAAAAAACGAUUUCUGGAAUACCAGAUAGCCCAGCACACAGCAACAAAAAACUCCAGAUCCUUCUUUCUUCUCUUCAAAGCUACAUCUUGAAUCACACUUAACAUGUCCUGACGAGCCAACUGUUUAACUUCCUCAUCAAGAUCUGUAAAUUUCCAAAUCCUCCUCGCUGCUUUGCACUCCACUAAAGCAUGGAAAACAUCCUCACCUCUGCACUUGCACCUUUGACAAAAGGGAUCCGACACUACUUUCCUCCUCCAUAGAUUAUGCAUUGUUGGUAACAAUUCUUUCCGUCCUUGACGACCAAGAUCAGUCGGUAAUUGGUGCCGGAAACCAUCUUAGUCUCACCCUUCUCCACGCUCUUGAACUUGAACUCGUUCUUUGACUGUUUUUUUUGUACUCAUCACUGCAAACAGCCCGAUCUCUGUCACGUGCGGCUUGCUGAGGUCUUCUUUCGACUUCCAUCCCCCAACUAAGACUCCUUUACGAUCGCCGGCGGCCAGGAGAGGGGUUGUUGCCAUGGCUUUUCACGACCACAAAAUACGUAAUCCCUGCACCUUAUCCAUUUUCUUCUAACACUUGUCAAGAAGGGUAAUUUUGUCCUUUUAAGAUUUAUAAACAAAAUAUAAAUAAAAUUAGUGCAGGUGUUCAAGUAAAUUUGACAACAUUUAAAUUAUAAAAGACAAAAGUUAGGGUACGACAGUUGCAACAUAGCCGAGUCCAUUUUUAAUAUUAAAAAGUAAAGCUGCUUUUAAAUAGAGAACUGAUAUUCCCUCCCCAGAUUCUUCAUCAUCUGACUAAAGCCAAAAAGAACUGAUACUAACAAAUCACCAUUUGGGAUUUCCACUUUUUCAUUAUCCAUUUUAGUACAACUUAAAUCAAGGGGGGAAAAGGAAUAAAACAAGCAGAUGAUUACACAUGCACACUGAUUUCCAUUUUGUCACCAUUUCUUGCCGAUGUUGCCGUAAUUCUUUUUUUUUUUUGGUUUAUCUCAAACUUUGUAAUUUUAUUAAUAUUGAGGGCAUAAAAAACAACGAGUUCAUGAUCCAUCUGAUUUUAGUAAAUCAAUCAGGUGAGCUUUGCUAUUAACUUUCCUUCACCGGCAACUAUAGAGAAGUGCUGGAGCAGGAUCUCCAGACUCCAGUCAGGCAUCAACAUCCAUCAAAAACUCACAAAACUUUCUCUCUUAAUCGCCUUUACAGACUCUUCGUUUCUCAUUUUUCUCGCUUUCUUCUUCUUCGAAAGCAGCGAGCCCUUCCAAUCCCUUCUUUUGUGGCUCUCCUUUUCCCUCUUCAUUCGCCCCUUCGCCAUCGCUCAACUCACCUGCGGUCACACUGCGUCGGUCACAGCCCAAUCAUUGAAACCCCUCAUAUCCAGAUCCAAAGAUUAAAAGGAAGCCUUAGAAGUCGCAAAAGAACCGAUCUUUAAACCCCCCACAGUUCGGUUCUGAUCGUUAAAAACUCAAAUGUGUCAAUUCGAAUUGAGUAAAAAGAGAAGAAAUUUGAAGUCUUGGAGGAAUGAAAUGGAGAGGAUAUUCAGAUUCUGAAAAGCAGUGAUGAAGAAACCGAUGGGGAAGAUCAGUUCUCUCUCUAAAAAUUUAUUAGGCAACUUUUUUUUUUAAUAUUAAAAAUUAUAAAAAUCUGCAUGUAGACCCUUAUGUUGGAAUCAAUAUUUGAAAUUAAAAUAUAAGUUGCCGUUGGAUUUGAUCCGACGGCUACAAAUUGUCUCCCGGAUCUUGGAUUGGAAAACUACUCAUGCUGUAAAAAUGAUUUAGCUCAUGUGAUUAAUAAAUAUAUACGAUCAUAAUUAAUUUCCAGCUUCUGGGGAAGUUAAAAAAUCCUUAUUUUUCCAUUUGUGUUUUAUGCAUGGUUUUUUACAAUUUUAUAUUUAAGUUUAAUAAAUUGAAUAGUACGUGCGUAUCAUUUCAUUUUGUUUAUGUUUAUGUCUCCAUCUUUAAUUUUAAGGACGCUAUAUAUAUUAACUCAUAUUUCCAACAGCCGUACUUUAAUAGGAACAAGAAGACAUGAUUUCUAUUAGAUCAUAUUCGACAGAUUUCUAAAAUUAUACCAAUAUAAAUUCAUUAUUAGUUAGAUGAGAAAUAAGAAAUUUAAUUACAACAAAUGAUUUACAACGAUGACCCAAGUAAACACUCAGUCAAGUCAAUGGAUAAAUUAACUCGCGUCACUGUUUCGUCACUAUUAUUUUUUCGGCUCAAUUAUGAUUACACUUGGAAUCUGUAAGCUGCAGCAUCAGCCGUUGGAUGUGGAGUGAGAAACUAAACAAUAGAAAAUGGGAUGGUGCGAGAUGUUUGACAGAUAAAGCCUCUGUAAUUAGUAUUUUUUUCGGCUCAAUUAUGAUUAUUACAGUUGGAAUCUCGGAGCCAGCAAAAAAUUAUCCGUUGAUGACAACCGAUUGCAACUUAUAGACAGAUACCAAAAAUAUAAUUAGUAUUCAAUGUCCUUUGUGAAGUUCUACACGUAAUUUAGCCGGUGGGGUUUUUCGAAAUUAUUGAUUAUUCUUUCCUUUGAAAUUAAUAUAAAAAAACAGCUCCAUAAUUUUUCUGUGUAAUUUAAAACUAUUGCAUGACGUUUUCUAUUCGGCCAUCCAUUAUUUAAUUGAUAACGGCCCAGCAUGCAUAUGGCUAGAAAUUCGCUUCUUCUAUUCUAAUUAAAUUUCAUGUAAACUUUUCUCAGUUCUCAGUGUUUGCCGAUAUAUUGAAGACCAUAAUAAUAAUAAUUAUUAUUAUUAUUAUGAUGAUGAUGAUGUAUUACAUCCCAAAUUGCCUUCGUUAUAAUAUUUGGCCCUAAAACUAAUAAAAAUAAAGAGUUGUACUAUUGCAUAAUUGUAAAUCUAUGACAAAUGAAAAUUAUUUAUUGGUAAUAGUUGCAUAACCCAAAUAAUAAUUAUUUUAAUGGUAUCAAAAUCUAGUUCAAAUGGCACUAAAGUACGGCGGUGAAAUUUUUUUAUUUUAAUUAUAAAAAUUUAAAUUAUUAAUUAAAUAUAAAUAAUAAUAAAAUAUAAAUGAAUCUUAGAUUAUUCCUAGUUUCCUACAAUUUUGGUGGGUCCCGACAUUAGGCGGAAGUGUACAUUGCCAUAAGAAGUCAAGAACGACUUUGGUGGGUCCCGACAUUAUUCCUACAUUUUAAGUCUUCGGCUCAUUUAUUUCCCAUUUUCUUUAUCUUUUUCAUAAACAUAUUUUCUAACCAUUGGUUUUUAUUUCUUAAAUACGACGGUUUGACUCCAGAAGCAUUGACUUUCAGUUCAAUGCCGUUAAAGAUGGAUCAUUAGUCACGGUAUUAGCAUCUAUAGAGUUUGUUAGAGAGAGAUCUAAACCAAUACACAAAUGGGUGUACUUUCAGGUCAGUGCCCUCCAAUAUGGAUUAUCAGUCAUGGUGUUUAAUUAUAUUUAUUUAAUUUGUUAGAGAGAGCUCUACGCCUAUAGAGUAUAACAAAUGGAUGUACUUUCGUUUUCGUUCGUCUGUUGUAAGUUACUGUUUUUUUUGUCUAAAUCCUCUUUCACUUCCGACACCAUUACUUCAUUUCAGUCCCUCAGCGAUGGCAGGACCUUAGUUUCGAAAGAAGGAAGCUUUGAGCUUGGUUUCUUCAGUCCUGGUAGUUCCAAGAAUCGUUACGUAGGGAUUUGGUACAAAAAUAUGCCAGUUAAAACUGUUGUUUGGGUUGCAAAUCGAAUCAACCACAUUAAUGACUCUUCUGGCUUGUUAGUUGUAAACAAGACGGGCAAUCUUGUUUUAACAAGCCAGAACAAGAGUGUAGUUUGGUCAGCAAACUUGAGCAAAGAAGUCCGGACUCCAGUUGUAUUGCAGCUACUAGAUUCAGGAAAUCUUGUCCUCAGAGGUGAACGAGAUGGCGGUUCUGAAACUUAUUUAUGGCAAAGCUUUGAUUAUCCUUCUGAUAAUUUGCUACCAGGAUGAAGCUCGGAUGGGAUUUCAAGGCUGGUCUUGAGCGGCGUAUAACAUCAUGGAAGAGCUCAGACGACCCGUCUCCCGGAAACUUUAUUUGGAAAACUGAACGACAAGAUAACCCUGAGUUAGUCAUGUGGAAGGGAUCAAGAAAGUUUUAUAGGACUGGCCCCUGGAAUGGCCUUAUAUUCAGUGCUUCAUCACUCAGGCUUAACCCAAUUUUUAAGUAUCGCUUUGUCUUCAAUGAGGAUGAGCUGUACUACACAUUCUACCUCACAGAUAAAGAUGUUAUCUCAAGGACUGUUAUGAACCAAACACUCUAUUUACGUCAACGAUUCAUAUGGAAUAAAGCAACUAAAAGUUGGGAGUUGAAUGCAAAUGUGCCAAGAGAUCUAUGUGACACUUACGCCCUUUGUGGCGCCUAUGGCAUUUGCAUCAUUAGCAAAUCGCCUGUUUGCCAAUGUUUAAAAGGUUUCAAACCUAAAUCAGAGGUUUAUGUGGAACGGUCUCAAGGGUGCGUACGUACUAAGCCGUUAAACUACUCUCGACGUGAUGGUUUUGUCAAAUUUAAUGAUCUGAAAUUGCCAGAUUCUACUUCCUCUUGGGUUAGCAAAAGUAUGAAUCUCAAUGAAUGCCGGGAGAAAUUCUUAGACAACUCUUCUUGGAUGGCAUACGCAAAUUCAGAUAUCAGAGGAGAAGGCAGUGGCUGUGCCAUGUGGUUUGGCGAUCUGAUUGACAUGCGAAGCGUUCCAGAUGCUGGGCAGGACUUCUAUAUUCGAAUGUCUGCUUCAGAGCUAGGUAUCCGUUUACUUGUUUAAGUUACUCCAUUAUGAGAACUUAGGAGUGCCACUCCAGUUAGAUUAGUUCCAUAUUUUUAUUGUGUAAUUUAGUAAUGAGUUCAGAUUGAGAUGCUCCUUUCACAAAAAGCAGUUUCUGGGUAUGGCUUCUGUGCAUAGAAUUCUGCUGCUAUUUGAAUCAUUUUUUCUUAGCUAUAUGAUUAUUGACUUGCUUUGCUAUAUCUGAAUAUGCUGAUCAAGGAGCGAAAGGUGAGCCUAGGACGAAGAUAGUGGUGAUAGUCAUUUCUACUGCUGCUCUGUUAGCUGUGGUGCUUAUAGCUGGCUACUUGGUUCACAAAAGGAGAAAUAUAGUGGGUAUAAUAUUGCUCCAUUUUCCUUCACAAAUUUUCGUUGACGAUUUGAUGCAGGAAAAUCAAACUCUUAUAAAUAUUAAAUUUACAACAGUCGAUUAAGUUUUUAUAUGCAACAAUAAUUGUAUGUUUGUUUCAAGAUGAAGAGUUAACAGUGCAUAUCAUUUAGAUCAGGGGCAAGGUAAUUAAACUUGUAAAUUUUUCACCUAUGGUUCUUUAUUUACUUGCACUUUCAUAUUGACUGGAAUAUAGCUUUAAUACAAAUUUACAGAAAAAGAACCUUCUCAUCAAGAACAUGAAAAUUGUAUACGUACUGCAUAUGUGCUUUCAGUUAAUAAUAUCCAAUAUUUCAGAGAAAACAGAAAACAACAGGGAAACUGAUCAGGUUCAAAACAUGGACCUGGAGCUACCACUGUUUGAGUUAGCUACAAUUGCUAAUGCCACCGAUAACUUUUCAAUCAACAACAAGCUUGGAGAAGGUGGCUUUGGACCUGUUUACAAGGUAAACUUGAAACUUGCCAGUCAAAAAUAAUUAUUUUACCGGGUAACUAAAUUCACAUAUAUGUCUGGGCAGGGCACGCUAGUGGAUGGGCAGGAAAUUGCUGUGAAGAGGCUUUCGAAGAUUUCAUAGCAAGGAUUGAAGGAGUUAAAGAAUGAAGUUAUACUAUUUUCCAAAUUACAGCACAUAAAUCUUGUAAAGCUUCUUGGCUGCUGCAUUCAGGGAGAGGAGAAACUGUUGAUUUAUGAAUUCGUGCCGAACAAAAGCCUGGACUCUUUCAUUUUUGGUCUGGGUCCCUAUAACCUUAAAAUAUUCGGCUAGCUUGUGCCUUGAUUAUAGACGUUUCUUAUGUAUUUUCAGAAAAUUUUGUACUAACCUUAAUGUGGUAAUUUGUAGAUCAAGAAAGAUGUAAGAUAUUGGAUUGGUCCAAGCGUUUCCACAUUAUUUGUGGGACUGCUAGGGGUGUUAUGUACCUUCAUCAAGAUUCUAGAUUGAGGAUUAUACAUCGAGAUCUCAAAGCAAGUAAUGUGCUACUCGAUCAAGAUAUGAACCCAAAAAUUUCGGAUUUUGGUUUGGCAAGAGCUUUUGGUGGAGACGAGACAGAAGGAAAUACAAACUGCGUAGUUGGAACAUAGUAAGUAUUUUUUUGUCAUGUGAUCUUUACGAUUCACUUACAUUGAUUAAUGAAAAUUAACUUAUAUAUUUAAUCUUUUGAAGCGGUUAUAUGGCACCGGAAUAUGCUAGUGAUUGGCAAUUCUCAGUAAAAUCCGAUGUCUUCAGCUUUGGAAUUUUAUUGCUGGAGAUAAUAAGUGGAAAGAAAAAUAGAGGAUUUUAUCAUUCCGACAACAAGCUUAACCUUAUAGGACAUGUAAGUAAAAUGCAUAUGACAUUUUCUAACAUAGUUUGAACUAAUAAACUAUAGAUGAUAAAAGAGUUUUAAUAUGUUGUAGGCAUGGAAGUUGUGGAACGAAGGCAUGCCUUCACAAUUAAUCGAUCCAUGUAUUCAAGACUCAUUCAAUCUUGCUGAAGUGAUACGAUGCAUCCACAUCGGUUUGUUAUGCGUGCAACAGCAUCCAAAGGACAGGCCAAGCAUGCCCUCAGUGAUUUUGAUGUUGGGCAGCGAGACUGUGUUGCCUCAGCCAAAGCAACCCGGUUACUUGGCGCACAGGAAAUCUACCGGACAAGAUUAUUCAUCAAGCACGCCUGAAUCAUGUUCAACUAAUACAAUUACGAUCUCUGAGUUGGAGGGUCGGUAGAGAAUCUAUUUGUGGUAUCAUGCCUUGUUCUACAUUGUCAAGUGCAAAAGCAGUAAUAUGUCAACCAAAUGGAAAGUUAAGAUAAAUGAUUGGAUAAAAAAUGAUGAGGAUCAUCCAGUGAAUGCAUGUUGUGGAUCUAAAAGUUCAGAGGACAUGCCAAUUUUGCAGCUGACUACUUGGCUAAAAAUGCAGGCUCUAUACCUCUCGGAUUUCAUGUUUAUCAAGAACCUCCUGUAGGUCAUGAUCCUUGGCUUUGUUAUGAUAUGUAUGGGACAAUGAUUCCCCGCUCGGUUGUGUCUUAGCUUGGC